RNAcentral lists this small RNA (1911 nucleotides) under Drosophila pseudoobscura pseudoobscura. RNAcentral's name for it is "GA31826". Lineage: Eukaryota; Metazoa; Arthropoda; Insecta; Diptera; Drosophilidae. The record is from RNAcentral.
CCAGUCUUGUUCCCCAGAUCUGGUCAAACCUGGUUGAGCCAGCGAGCGUAUUUUCGGAUACAUUGGAUUGUGUGUUUUUUGGAUUGUUGAUUCUCAUUAGCCGUCCAUGUGAACCCGUGUGUGAACUCUGUGGCGGCUGCUGGUGGCGGACCAGACUCGUUCGCAACAGCCGGAAGUACCAGUUGCCUCCAUAGUCGAUAUCGACGCCAUUUGCUAGCCAACAGAUGGGUUCGAUCACUGACGUUGAUGCCCCAGUCAGUCUGGUAUUCUCUACAAAAAAUACUAGAAAGCUAUCGAUACUUCGAUAAAAUGGGAUAUCAAUUUUGUAAUGGUUUAAUCUGAUUUAAUUGGGCAGAAUGAGGGUUUUUUUACAAUACCCGAGAUACCCGAAAUCCAUCGAUUAUUUACUUUAGAUUUAGAUUAUCGACAUAAGCCUUAUUAGACGAAUUCUUCCAUAUUCAAAACAUACAUAAAUGUGUACCUAUGCGGAUCACACUAUUUAUACGUACUACUAGCUCACUCGAGCUAAGAGUUGAUCUGGCUUUAUGGGAUUACUACCUAACAUUAUUGGGAAUAAGGUAUUCAAAAUCCACCUUUAUAAAAGCAUUCUGCAAACCCCCUAGCUUUGAUUAGCUUGUAUCGCAUUCCGUCUAGUAGGUGACGGAGACAAUCGAAUCGAUCGACAGGGUCCUUUGUCCCUGUCUGCUUCUCUGCUCACCUCAGACCUCAGACAAUAGGGGCUACCGUAAGGGAACUUCCCUGUUACGAGGCUCCACUGCCUCUAGAGUUUCAUCACUGUACACCAUCGCGGUACUUUGAACUGUACGCAGCUCCAGCUGUUGGUUAUGAUACCCGGUACGUGCUGUGUCUGCCAUGUCACCCAUGUUCGUCUGUGGUCCCUACCUUCUUCUACCGUUCUGUGCUACCAACAAUAUUUGAUAUGUGACGAUAUUAUUUGGUAGGUACCUGUAUUACUGAUAUCGUCUAAACAAUAUUAACAUAUGUUGCCGUGUCAUCCGCUCUCCCAUCAUUGAGGCGAGUGUUACAUCACACACCUGACCUGCUUGAAGCCCAAGCAUCGAAUGAUCUGAGUAGCGGCUAUCUCACAGUCGGAAUGUAUGGAUGGGAAGCGGUCCUACUUCUUUUCGGUAUUUGUUUUGUUGUAUUGGGCGCUGCUGUUUUGUUUGUUUAUUUGUCUUGCCCUACCAAAUGCUGACGACUUGUUUUGUUCUUGAAAAGCGUCUAAUUUAUUAUCUCUCGCGAUUUCUGACUUUUUCCCCAUUUGAUUAUCGCACUGCAGGCUUUGCGGAAGUGAAGAAGCGGGAAAACGGGGAAGCGGGGAAGCUGCAGAUGGAGAUAGAGCUGAAUAGAUGGAGCAUUCUAGAACUGCUGAUGCGAUCGACUGAUUUACGGCUGUUGCAGAUACAUACAGAAUAGAAUUGCUGAGUUGCAGCAACAACAACAAACGCCGCACAAUUGUCCCGUUUAGAUACGCCAGCAGAGAGCGCUAAGAACUGGCCAAACGAGGAAGCAGCUGCAUAGGAGCACCUCUUACAGGGUCCGACGCACGACACGGCCUUUAGCUUCAGGCGUUCAAAAAUUGUUUAAUUCGAGAAGGGUCAAGCUUAAGUGGACUAGGACCACGGAUUAUCAGCACAUCGAUGACGCUGACAAGGCUGGGAGGGCAACGGAAUCUAACGAUAAGAAGGAGAGAGCACAAACAUAUGAUGCAAGCUAGAGAUUGAGCAAUUGGCGGCAUUAUAUUAGCUCGCCAUUGGAAGAGGACGUUUUCUAUCAUCCACUGCUCACACACCAAGCCCCAACAUAAUCUUCUUUUUGAAUUCAAGUGUUGACCAAGUGUUGUUGUGUUAUUUUGAACCAUGCUAAAUGAAAUAAAAACGUGUAAAAAUA